RNAcentral lists this ribosomal RNA (1540 nucleotides) under metagenome. RNAcentral's name for it is "bacterial SSU rRNA". It matches the Rfam family "Bacterial small subunit ribosomal RNA". The record is from RNAcentral.
AGAGUUUGAUUCUGGCUCAGAACGAACGCUGGCAGCGUGGAUUAGGCAUGCAAGUCGAACGAGAAGCCUUUCUUUCAAUUCUUCGGAAGAGAAAGAUUGGUGGAAAGUGGCGGAAGGGUGAGUAACGCGUGAGCAACUUGCCCCUUAGUCUGGAAUAACUCCGCGAAAGUGGGGCUAAUACCGGAUGUGGAUUCCCAGCGCAUGUUGGGAGGUCUAAAGAUGGGGAUUCUUCGGAACCUGUCGCUAAGGGAGAGGCUCGCGUCCUAUCAGCUUGUUGGUGAGGUAAUGGCUCACCAAGGCAAUAACGGGUAGCUGGUCUGAGAGGAUGGUCAGCCACACUGGGACUGAGACACUGCCCAGACUCCUACGGGAGGCUGCAGUCGAGGAUCAUUUGCAAUGCGCGAAAGCGUACAAUGCGACGCUGCGUGGAGGACGACGGCCUUAGGGUUGUAAACUCCUGUCAGGAGGAAAAAAUUAUCUCGUGGUUAAUAACCACUUGAUUUGAUGGUACCUCCAAAGGAAGCCACGGCUAACUCUGUGCCAGCAGCCGCGGUAAUACAGAGGUGGCUAGCGUUGUCCGGAUUUACUGGGCGUAAAGGGUGCGUAGGUGGUUAUGUAUGUCGAAUGUGAAAGCCCACGGCUUAACCGUGGAAGUGCAUUCGAAACUGCAUAACUAGAGUUCAAGAGGGGAGAGCGGAAUUCUUGGUGUAGCGGUGAAAUGCGUUGAUAUCAAGAAGAACACCGGUGGCGAAGGCGGCUCUCUGGAAUGUAACUGACACUGAGGCACGAAAGCUGGGGGAGCAAACAGGAUUAGAUACCCUGGUAGUCCCAGCCGUAAACGGUGUGAACUUGGUGUGGGAGGAGUUAACCCCUUCCGUGCCGGAGCUAACGCGUUAAGUUCACCGCCUGGGGAGUACGGCCGCAAGGCUAAAACUCAAAGAAAUUGACGGGGGCCCGCACAAGCGGAGGAGCAUGUGGCUUAAUUCGAUGCAACGCGAAGAACCUUACCAGGGCUUGACAUGUACCUGCACGCUCCCCGAAAGGGGAGAAGCUUUCGAAGGUGGUACACAGGUGCUGCAUGGCUGUCGUCAGUUCGUGCCGUGAGGUGUUUGGUUAAGUCCAGCAACGAACGCAACCCCUAUGUUUAGUUGCCACCAUCGGUGAUGAGCCGGUGAGCACUCUAGACAGACUGCCCGUACAAGCGGGAGGAAGGUGGGGACGACGUCAAGUCAGUAUGGCCCUUACGCCCUGGGCUGCACACGUGCUACAAUGGUCGGUACAGAGGGAAGCAAUACCGCGAGGUGGAGCAAAUCCUCAAAACCGGCCCCAGUUCGGAUUGGAGUCUGCAACUCGACUCCAUGAAGUCGGAUUCGCUAGUAAUGGCGCAUCAGCUACGGCGCCGUGAAUACGUUCCCGGGCCUUGUACACACCGCCCGUCACAUCAUGAAAGCCGUCUGCACCCGAAGUCGCUGAUCUAACCCUCAGGGGAGGAAAGUGCCGAAGGUGUGGGUGGUAAUUGGGAUGAAGUCGGAACAAGGUA